AGAGCGAACGCUGGCGGCAGGCUUAACACAUGCAAGUCGAGCGCCGUAGCAAUACGGAGCGGCAGACGGGUGAGUAACACGUGGGAACGUACCUCUUGGUUCGGAACAACACAGGGAAACUUGUGCUAAUACCGGAUAAGCCCUUACGGGAAAGAUUUAUCGCCGAGAGGAUCGGCCCGCGUCUGAUUAGCUAGUUGGUGAGGUAACGCUCACCAAGGCGACGAUCAGUAGCUGGUCUGAGAGGAUGAUCAGCCACACUGGGACUGAGACACGGCCAGACUCCGUACGGGAGCAGCAGGUGGGAAUAGUAGGACAAGUCGGGCGACGAAGCCUAGAUCCAGCAUGGCCGCGUGAGU
This 356-nucleotide ribosomal RNA is filed under the name uncultured soil bacterium. RNAcentral's name for it is "bacterial SSU rRNA". It matches the Rfam family "Bacterial small subunit ribosomal RNA", at positions 26 to 406 of the family's 1533-position model. The record is from RNAcentral.